RNAcentral lists this ribosomal RNA (348 nucleotides) under Gymnotus choco. RNAcentral describes it as "partial 12S ribosomal RNA". It matches the Rfam family "Bacterial small subunit ribosomal RNA", at positions 852 to 1354 of the family's 1533-position model. Lineage: Eukaryota; Metazoa; Chordata; Actinopteri; Gymnotiformes; Gymnotidae. The record is from RNAcentral.
GAAACCCACACUAAAAUCAUUCGCCAGAGUACUACAAGCGAAAGCUUAAAACCCAAAGGACUUGGCGGUGUUUCAGACCCACCUAGAGGAGCCUGUUCUAGAACCGACAAUACUCGUUAAACCUCACCACUUCUUGUUUCCCCCGCCUAUAUACCGCCGUCGUCAGCUUACCCUGUGAAGGACAAAAAGUAAGCAAAAUGAGCACAACCCAAAACGUCAGGCCGAGGUGUAGCGCACGAAGUGGGAAGAAAUGGGCUACAUUUUCUAAUUAUAGAACAAUUACGCACGACGCACUGAAACUUAUGCGUCUUUUUUAAAGGUGGAUUUAGAAGUAAAAAGCAAAUAGAG